CGAACGGGUGAGUAACACGUGAGCAACCUGCCCUAUACAACGGGAUAACACAGAGAAAUUUGUGCUAAUACGGUAUAAGACCACAGUAUCGCAUGAUACAGGGGUAAAAGAUUUAUCGGUAUAGGAUGGGCUCGCGACCCAUUAGCUAGUUGGUGAGGUAACGGCCCACCAAGGCAACGAUGGGUAGCCGACCUGAGAGGGUGAUCGGCCACACUGGGACUGAGACGCGGCCCAGACUCCUACGGAAGGCAGCAG
This 255-nucleotide ribosomal RNA is filed under the name uncultured bacterium. RNAcentral's name for it is "partial 16S ribosomal RNA". It matches the Rfam family "Bacterial small subunit ribosomal RNA", at positions 99 to 354 of the family's 1533-position model. The record is from RNAcentral.